RNAcentral lists this transfer RNA (58 nucleotides) under Bacillus thuringiensis serovar aizawai str. Leapi01. RNAcentral's name for it is "tRNA-Ser". It matches the Rfam family "tRNA", at positions 16 to 71 of the family's 71-position model. Rfam says of the family: Transfer RNA (tRNA) molecules are approximately 80 nucleotides in length. The record is from RNAcentral. Lineage: Bacteria; Bacillati; Bacillota; Bacilli; Caryophanales; Bacillaceae.
UCGGUAGAGCAGAGGACUGAAAAUCCUCGUGUCGGCGGUUCGAUUCCGUCCCGAGCCA